UGGGGAAUAUUGCACAAUGGGCGCAAGCCUGAUGCAGCCAUGCCGCGUGUAUGAAGAAGGCCUUCGGGUUGUAAAGUACUUUCAGUCGGGAGGAAGGUGGUAAGGUUAAUAACCUUAUCAAUUGACGUUACCGACAGAAGAAGCACCGGCUAACUCCGUGCCAGCAGCCGCGGUAAUACGGAGGGUGCAAGCGUUAAUCGGAAUUACUGGGCGUAAAGCGCACGCAGGCGGUUGAUUGAGUCAGAUGUGAAAUCCCCGGGCUUAACCCGGGAAUUGCAUCUGAUACUGGUCUGCUAGAGUCUUGUAGAGGGGGGUAGAAUUCCAUGUGUAGCGGUGAAAUGCGUAGAGAUGUGGAGGAAUACCGGUGGCGAAUGCGGCCCCCUGGAUAAAGACUGACGCUCAGGUGCGAAAGCGUGGUGAGCAAACAGG
RNAcentral lists this ribosomal RNA (429 nucleotides) under Chloroflexota bacterium. RNAcentral's name for it is "Chloroflexi bacterium partial 16S ribosomal RNA". It matches the Rfam family "Bacterial small subunit ribosomal RNA", at positions 355 to 776 of the family's 1533-position model. Lineage: Bacteria; Bacillati; Chloroflexota. The record is from RNAcentral.